CCCGGAGCUGUGUUGCAUUGCGUUUUAUUGUAUUCAGCAGCUCUUCCCUCCGAUUUAUUUAUUUAUUUUUAAACUAAAGGACAUUUGUUGCAACAGAAUAAACUUUUCAUUACGAAAAGCUUAAACUUCCCAAAGAAGACCAUAGUCCCUGUUGGUGCAUUUGUCGAAGCCAAACCCACCUGGGGUGGAAGUAGGAAUAACCCGGUGAAAUCACGAAACAAAAAUUUAGGUGUUCCGGAUGAAAAGAGAGCAAUGUGACGAUGAGGCGCUGUUUUAAGUUGCGGACUUUGAACAAAGUCACAGUGACUCCUUGUGCCUGUGCAGCUGGAGUGGACAAAAUCCCACCGACCGCAGGCCACGUCCGCUAACCAGCAGAAAGAAGACGGACGACACGGUGUACAGGGUUGUCUCCCCCCACAUUUCUCUGACUUUUCUAGGACGGUUUCACAGUACUUUCACUAUUUCUUUACAUUCCCCUCUUUUAUUUCAGCAACAACUAGACCACGGUUUCUCUGGUUGCUUUAUACAACUGCAGGAAACACCAGCAAUUAGAAGGCCUGUAGAGAUGCUGGCUGAACCCUGGGUGAAAUUUCCAGCAGCUUUGGAUAUCUUUCGAUUUCCACUGUGGGGUAAAGCUUUGCACUGUCACUUUGUUGGCCGAGCAUUACCAAAAGGCAGAGGGCUAUGACCAUGCUCCUCCUGCAGUCUUCAGCAUUACAAGUCCCAGAUGGCUUUUUGUCUGCCUUGUGCUUCCAGAGCAACAGCAAACAAGUGGAAGAAGGGACCAGAUAUUCUACCACCAUUUUUCUGAAGAUUAAGCUGAAUAAAAAGUUCCAAAUACUUGUACAAAAGAUGUCUUAGAGAUUAGGAAGUGGCAAUUUAAAACAGAGACAUAUAAUGAAGUGUGCAGUAUCAAAUAGGAUUUUACUCCUGUCAUUCCAGACUUCCUCAGAGUGACAAAAUAGAGUUUGUUUCUGUCUUUCAUUCUCCAAACAUUUUGAAUGUAUCUCCUCAUAGAGUAAAAAUGUUCUUUUUAUGCCCUA
Aquila chrysaetos chrysaetos is the source of this 1043-nucleotide long non-coding RNA. RefSeq lists it as uncharacterized. The record is from RefSeq and is a predicted model, not a curated record. Lineage: Eukaryota; Metazoa; Chordata; Aves; Accipitriformes; Accipitridae. The transcript is spliced from 3 exons.